This is a long non-coding RNA of Leopardus geoffroyi (Geoffroy's cat), 435 nucleotides long. RefSeq lists it as uncharacterized. The record is from RefSeq and is a predicted model, not a curated record. NCBI's taxonomy places the organism in Eukaryota, Metazoa, Chordata, Mammalia, Carnivora, Felidae. The transcript is spliced from 2 exons.
UUGGUCCCAAUCGGUCGGCCUUGCCUCUCAUUGCAAUGAACUUUGUUGUGACUGUCACUGGUGCCCAUAGCAUUCAGUUUCAGGAGUCGUGUGGAUGCAACAUUUGGUGCAUUGGCCGGGAAAGUUAAAGUUCUGAAACAGGGCCCUUUCCCUGGAUUGCUCUGCCGACCCCUGGGAGGAAGCUCGGGAUUGGGAGAGGCACGAACACCAAAUCCCAUACAUUGGGGCACGGAGAACCCUCAUCGAAAAACCUCCAGCUUGGUUAAAACUUCUUCCCCUUCCCCCUCGCCUCCCUAAAGUACAGGCUUUGCCACUCAAAGGUCGCCCAUCUGGAGCUCAGAAUAAGAAUCUUGACGAGACUAAGCGGCCGCCCCCUCUAUCACCUGCACAGGAGGGGGUAAAAAAAAAAAAAAAGGAACUUACCACCCACCGCCC